UUGUUUUGUUUUUCUUCUUUCUCUU
Molecule: small RNA, 25 nt
Filed under: Arabidopsis thaliana (thale cress)
Lineage: Eukaryota; Viridiplantae; Streptophyta; Magnoliopsida; Brassicales; Brassicaceae
Description: ATSL061280
Source: RNAcentral